Gossypium hirsutum (cotton) is the source of this 145-nucleotide non-coding RNA. The record is from Rfam. NCBI's taxonomy places the organism in Eukaryota, Viridiplantae, Streptophyta, Magnoliopsida, Malvales, Malvaceae.
UGUUAAAAAUUUCUUUCAUUUCUAUUGUUAAAAAUUGAUAUGGCUGACAAAAUAACUAAACUGUUACAUUUGGCAUACCACGUAUACUUUACGCUGACAUAUAGGGACCAAUUUUUAACGGUAAAACUGGAUGUAAUUUUUAACA